UACGUAGGUGGCAAGCGUUGUCCGGAAUCAUUGGGCCUCAAGCGCGCGCAGGCGGUCCCUUAAGUCUGAUGUGAAAGCCCACGGCUCAACCGUGGAGGGUCAUGGGAAACUGGGAGACUUGAGUACAGAAGAGGAGAGUGGAAUUCCACGUGUAGCGGUGAAAUGCGUAGAUAUGUGGAGGCGCACCAGUGGCGAAGGCGACUCUCUGGUCUGUAACUGACGCUGAGGCGCGAAAGCGUGGGGAGCAAACAGG
RNAcentral lists this unclassified non-coding RNA (253 nucleotides) under uncultured Bacillaceae bacterium. RNAcentral's name for it is "contains 16S-23S intergenic spacer region". It matches the Rfam family "Bacterial small subunit ribosomal RNA", at positions 524 to 776 of the family's 1533-position model. The record is from RNAcentral. Lineage: Bacteria; Bacillati; Bacillota; Bacilli; Caryophanales; Bacillaceae.